AGAUUGGGCGCUGGAUGUGAGGGUGCCCCACUGACAGCCAGAUUUGAUUCAGCUGAUCUGGGGGGCUAGGCAGUGUCCCCUUUUUUUUGUCACUGCUCUAUGUGCAUCCCUCCUGAAGCUGCACGUUGGGUCAAAGAUGAUAAGCAGCCCCCAUAAAGGAGGAUCGUUUCUUCAGUCAAGGAUGUAGGAGUUGCUGCACCCCCUUGCUAGAACCUCCAAACAAGAUAUCAGGGUUGGGCAUAACAUUAAUUUAGUGUCUUUAUUGAAAAGCUACUUGGAU
RNAcentral lists this small nuclear RNA (280 nucleotides) under Fukomys damarensis (Damara mole-rat). RNAcentral's name for it is "7SK RNA". It matches the Rfam family "7SK RNA". Rfam says of the family: 7SK was discovered as an abundant small nuclear RNA in the mid-70s but a possible function has only recently been suggested. Two independent studies have found that 7SK RNA binds the CDK9/cyclin T complex (known as elongation factor P-TEFb). P-TEFb activates transcription by phosphorylating the C-terminal domain of RNA polymerase II. The record is from Rfam by way of RNAcentral. Lineage: Eukaryota; Metazoa; Chordata; Mammalia; Rodentia; Bathyergidae.